UACGGAGGGUGCAAGCGUUAUCCGGAUUCACUGGGUUUAAAGGGUGCGUAGGUGGGAAUGUAAGUCAGUGGUGAAAUCUCCGUGCUUAACAUGGAACGGUCAAGUGAUACUGUCGUGCUAGAGUACAGAAGGGGCAACUGGAAUUCUCGGUGUAGCGGUGAAAUGCGUAGAUAUCGAGAGGAACACCUGCGGCGAAGGCGGGUUGCUGGGCUGAUACUGACGCUGAGGCGCGAAAGCCAGGGGAGCGAACGGG
RNAcentral lists this ribosomal RNA (253 nucleotides) under uncultured bacterium. RNAcentral's name for it is "partial 16S ribosomal RNA". It matches the Rfam family "Bacterial small subunit ribosomal RNA", at positions 524 to 776 of the family's 1533-position model. The record is from RNAcentral.